This is an RNA transcript of Sphaerodactylus townsendi, 5875 nucleotides long. It is a transcript of the gene named CDK2 associated cullin domain 1, with no coding region annotated. The transcript is spliced from 9 exons. The record is from RefSeq and is a predicted model, not a curated record. NCBI's taxonomy places the organism in Eukaryota, Metazoa, Chordata, Lepidosauria, Squamata, Sphaerodactylidae.
CGCUUCCGGGCGGGGGGGGGGUCCAUUCUGGAGUCGUCGGCCGCCUUGGUUCCGUGUAACCCGGAGACGUGACGCUCGGCAAUGGGAAGCCUUGGAUUGUGACAGCCCCGUCCCUCCCCCGCUCUCCGUCUCUCUCCCCGCCCGGGCCGAGCGGCCUCUCCCCGGCCUGCCGGGAUGGAGGAGGAGAGCAUGGAGGAGGAGGAGGGCGGCGGCGGCGGCGGCAGCCUCAGUAGCAGCAGCAGCUACGAAGCCUUAAUGGACGACCAGAACCACAACAACUGGGAAGCGGCGGGAGGAGGAAGGGGCAGCUACACGUGCCAGCCGCUGUCCCCGGAGGGACCCCGUGGCGAGGUCGCCCCCUCCCUGGACCCGCAGAAGGACUUCGAGAUGCAGAUGUUGUCCGAGGCUGCUAAUGGGUCGAGCAAAGGAGCGGCCGCCGGCGGCAUCAACCUCAACAUCAACUCGUCGACCUCUAAGUUCUUAAUGAAUGUUAUUACUAUAGAAGAGUAUAAGAGCACAUACUGGCCAAAGUUGGAUAGUGCCAUAGAUCAACUCUUAACUCAGAGUCCUGGUGACUACAUCCCUAUCUCCUAUGAACAAAUAUACAGUUGUGUGUAUAAAUGUGUGUGCCAGCAACAUUCGGAACAGAUGUAUAGUGACCUAAUAAAAAAGAUAACUAACCACUUAGAGAGUGUCUCAAAGGAGCUGCAGGCCAGCCCUCCAGAUUUCUACGUUGAAAGGUUUAACGUAGCACUCGGACAGUAUAUGGGAGCAUUACAGAGCAUUGUGCCUCUUUUCAUAUAUAUGAAUAAGUUUUACAUAGAAACAAAGCUUAACCGUGACUUAAGAAAUGACCUUAUAAAACUGUUUACGGAACAUGUUGCAGAAAAGCACAUUUACAGCCUGAUGCCUUUACUUCUAGAAGCUCAGUCCACGCCCUUUUGGAUAAGCCCUUCCACUAUGGCAAACAUUGUGAAAGGAUUAUAUAUGCUUAGGCCAGAAUGGGUUCAUAUGGCACCAGCUUUAUUUUCUAAAUUUAUUCCAAACAUCCUCCCUCCUGCAGUAGAAUCUGAACUUGAAGAAUAUGCUGCUCAAGACCAGAAACUUCAACAAGAACUUAUUCAGGAAGGAUUUUCCAGGCAUCGCUCUUAUCUCUAUCUUCCCACUUCACUUGAUAAGAGUUUGAAGCUUUCCUUCAGCUGAAGGAGUGGCUCUUCAUUGUGGUUCUUCCUCUUCAUUGGAAGAAGGGUUCUCAGACUGAAGGAAGACUUCAAACAGAGAGAUGGCUCAGCAUCCUGUGCAAGUUCAAGAGGGUGCAGAUAGCGACUGUGCUAGAAGUCGUAUAUUCCCAAUAGGAGCAGAUACUGGAGCAUUGGAGGGGGAGACAUCCAGAGGCUCACUUGGGUUCUACUGAUGCUCAGGUUCUUUGAUGCAAACUACACCUAGAAGAGGAGUGUGGAAUGAUAUCUUGCCAUGUAAUAAAAUGUUUGUUGCUGCUAAUUUGGAGCUAACUUGGAAAAGCAUGACUGGUCUUGACAAGGUGGUAUGUGUGGGGUUUUUUUGUUUUUGUCAAUACCGCCUGGAAAUAACCUUCAUUGCUUAAUAGAACUUGAUAACCAAAAAAGGGCAGCUUCUUUUGAAAUAAACUUUUGCACUUUUUGUGGACAUUGCUGUUAAAACUUGUCUGGAGCUUUGUUUUAAAAAUCAGACAGACAAACAUUGCACAUACAAGUGGUAUUUCUUUUCUGCACUAGGUUUGCCUCUGACUGUCUAUUUCAUGCAAUUGACAUUCUACAUUCCAGACUUUUUUGUUUAUUCAUUCAACCCCUCUUUCCAGUCCCCAUUUUUUUAACUCAUAUUUACAGUCUCUUCUAUUUGCUUUCAUCUCCUUGUCUUUAGCAUGUGAACUUUGCAAUGUGACAGCCUGUAAAAAUAUUUAUCUUUAAACUGUGAUUUGAUUAAGCAUCCUGCAGACUUUUCUGCAGUUCCUGUUCUUCUUAAGAAGAAGAAAAAGGACACUUUAAAAAAAUCACAGAAAUAUUAAUACAGGCCUGAACACUUUUUAUUUGGCUUUCAUGAUUAUUGCAACUGAUUGAAUUUUGGACUGAAUUCAGUUCCAACAUGUGAUUUCUGUUGAGAACUGAAACAAACACACACAGCAAUUGAAGUUAUUUGCCAAGUGAUUACAGACUCAGUUGGUUAAUUCUGGACUGCCCUCGCACAACAUAGUAUAAUGAGAGACUUCUAGUCUAAUUGCUGAAAUCAGUGCCAGAAUACUUUGGCACUGGGCUUGUCCUAGAUUUAAGAGUGUUGCUCACAGUUUGCUCAUGCAUCUGGUCAGUGAGGUACCUGAAGUUAUUUUACAAGUUCGGGAAAAGAGUACAGUACAGUUACAUUGCCCCACUUUCAAAUUGGUCUCCACACUUUCUUCUUGUCUCGGCCCUGUCUCUUUUUAAACCUUGAACAUAGUGUGAUUCAUCUACGGGAUGUGAUGUACCUGUAGCUGUUUAUGCCUCAUAAGGCAUGGAUCUAUAUCUCGGCUUUCUACUUCUGCUCGGGACCAGAGACAAAGCCACAUGGUGUGUUUUUUUCUCUUCAGUCUUCUCAAUGAAGAAACACUGUCAGUUCAGCCAAAACUAUAAAAUGAUAUGGAUUAUUUUUAGUCUCAUUUUAUUCAGAAAAGGAAGAGUGUUUACUGUAGUAAUUGGUAAGUGGAGAUGAGUUUGCCCCUAACAUGAGAGAGUCAAUCAAGGUGUACCUGUGAUGAGUAAUUAGCACUCAGGGAAGGCCUAGUUUUGAAUGACUCUUUAAUGUAAGCAUUGUGCUCCCUUGGAGCUGUGGAAAGUUUCUCAUUUAAGGAGGCAGAAUAUGUCAGCUUUUAUCACUUAGGAAGAAAAACAGUCUCAUGCUUUUUUCUCUGCUGACUGUAUAUUCAGUUCACAGAGAAGCAUAUGCAAUUUGAAAAUUGUAUAGGUUAGGAAAUGUGUUUUUCUGUGGUAUGGACUAAUCAUAUUUUAAAUGACUGAGAAUGGUAUUUGAAAAAGCAGUUGGUUGUUUAUAAUAGCAGGAAAUAGAGCAAUACCACAAUGGAGCAAAAAACAUUUUCAGUAUCAAAAACCUUUUGGAGGUGAUGGAAUGCCAAAUUCUUAAUGUGGUAGUCUAACAGUGCAUAGCUACAAAGAAAAUCUACCUGCAGGUGUGACAGGAGAAACCCUUUCUUUUGUGUAAUCUGAUCUUUUUGCUUUGCAUGCAUUCCCUACCCUGCACAAAUUGACUCUUUAGGAAUAAUAGAGCACAGAACUUAAUGAGAACUGUCAAUUUAAUUUGUCAUAAAAUGAUAGACGUUAUUGCAAUGUGAUAUUGGAGAUUUCAUUCUCUUCAAGGUCGCUGUUUGAUGUAACCACAUUCCAUGUCCAUAUCCUUUUGCACACUGAGGUCCUAAUCUUAUUGUUGCGAGGAGUAAGGACAUAGUCAUGCCACAGGGACUACAGUUGUGCAGUUGCCGUCCUGGAACAUAUGUUACUUUAUCUCAGUUUCUAGGCCUCAAUUUCCCUUGAGUAUAGAAUUUGUAUGAAGGCAUUCUGAUGCUGAAAUGAUCAGCGUAUGAUAGUGUUAGGUCUUGAACCUUAAUCAAAUAACUGGGCUCUGUGUAGCAUUUAUUCAGAAGUGUCAGUAGCAUUUAUUGAGAAGAUCAAUAGCAUUUAUUGAGAAGCAUCAGAGCACCAAAGCUUGGAAAAUCCAAUUCUAACAAACCUGGAUUUUGCACCCCCUUUAUCCCCUGCAAGUCCCCCCUCCUGAAUUCCUGUGAAAAACAGUCCCUGGAGCUGAGGUGCCCAAGGUCAGCGGCAGAUAGUAAGAGAAAGCCACCUGGCUUCCUGCCCCCAUGUGAUAAUGGAUGUGACUGUUUCUCAUAGGAUCAGGGUGUCAGGCAAAAGCUUGGUUAUCUCCAAAGCGUGUGAAGCCAUGAAGAUCAAGGAAAGAAUGCCACAGAUGGCAAUGGUAACAUAUUGCAGGCAGGUUACACAUAUCUUUUAGCAGCAUUUGAUUUGUAGCAUUAAGCAGUUACAAUGGGGUAGAAAUGCAUCUCAAUCACCUGGAUACAAUCCUUCUGAGAGAUAGUUCAUGCAUAGUGUAUAGAUACAUUCAGGGAUAAUGUAUUUUGGCAUGGAAAAUAAGAUGGAAAGGAAUGUAUUUGGGCUUUAAUAACUCAAAAAGCCCAAAUAGAGAAAUGUUUUGGGGAAAAAGCCAAUGUUCUGAUCUUGUCUUAAAAGCUAGUUGAGACUGUUAUGAUAUCAUUUAUAAAUUAAUGGAAGAUAAGUUGCUUGCUACACCCAGACAGCUCUGCUCAGUUCUUCCCAGAUACUGCAUUUGAAGGCAUUAUUUAUGUGCAACAAGAGGGCAGAGCUGUCCCUUCUACACCAUACUAGAAAGCAGUGUGGAAUGGGUGAGGGUUGAAGCAGGGGAGCAUAACACUUGCUCUAGAGCUCUGCGGCACGGUGUGUGUGUGUGUGUCUCCUAAAAGAACUCCCUGCUGUGAUCUCUCCAGCUAAUAGAAGCCCAGCAUUGGAAAGCUUUGUCUAGUCACACAGUACGUCAUCUUAGAUGAUAGAAAGCUAGAUUCCACCUCUUGUGCCCAGUCACUUUCAGAACAUUCUUAUGACAAAGUAGGGAUUCUGACACAUUUUUCAGAGACUGCAGAAUGAGAAGUGCAGUGCAGGAUAAUCAUUUGAGGUAAACAUGUAUGCUUCCAUGAUUAUCUGGCUUAUUGGUGCAGAUCACCUUGAUUUUGGGAGUCCAAAGGUAUGUGAAUCCAAAGGGUAGCCAACAGAAGCACAAGUGAAUUGUAGACUAUCUCAUAAAUAAUAGGUAUGUGGGAUUGUGUAAGACUAUGCCUAUCCCAGUGCCAUCUGGAGUUCAUCACCCAUGAAGAUAAUAUUAUAUGGAAGUAUUCCUGGUGGCAGCCAUGUACCCAUUGCACUUCCUUCCCUUGGAAUCUUGUCAUGGUCUGAGUCUGAAUGCCUUUGGGUAAAAGGUUUUAUUUAGCCUGGCUAAGCAGCUAUAUAUAUGGAACUUUAUUUUUAAAAAUUGUAGGAGUCUAACUGGAUAUUCUUUUGUUGGUUAAAUUUAAUCUAACUACAUCAGGCCAACUGGGUGUCAAUUUAAAAUAAAUCCUGUUGGUUCCCAGUACUGUGCAGAUUGUUUUAGGCACUCAACAUGUUUGCUGUCUUCUGUUUUUUUGUUGUGUAGGUUUUAAAAAAAACUCUCUACUGGUUUGUGCUUUGUAAUUAAGCUGUAGAACAUAUGACUUCUGUUUCAGGCUAUGGUUUUAUUUGUUACUAGAUGUCGAGCCCCUAGUAUACAAACUCUGAAAACUGAAGCAAAUUCCUCCAAAUAUGGUUGAUAUUCUUUCAUAACUUUUCAAAAUGUUUUAGCCCUAUGUAGCAUCUUGCCUAAAUAGGAAGCCUAAGAACUUUUUUUGGUAAAAAUAAAAUACUGUAUUAUGUGGUAAAUUGGUAUUAAGAUUUCUACGUUUUGGCGUCUGAUGCUGAAAUAAUUUGUUUUCAUGUUUUCAAAGGGUUUAAUUUUUGUGAGCUGAGCAUGAAGAACAUAAUAGGACAUAUGAAACAGUUGAUACUUUGUGAACAUUUACUUUAAAACUUGAUGAAUUAAUGUGUUCGGUCUCUACAGCCAUGACUUGACCAAAGCAACAUAGUCAUAGCUAUGGUGCUUCUGUGAAUUGAAUGACUUACCACUUUUUUUUCCUCCUUUUGUUCAUGAGAUCUAAAUGGCAAAGUUUUAUGCAUUGGGUAUCCUCUUAUAUAUCGAAUUUUGUUUCCUGGGAAACUUGCUCUAAUAAAAUAUUUUUAGACAAAAA